This 441-nucleotide ribosomal RNA is filed under the name uncultured bacterium. RNAcentral describes it as "partial 16S ribosomal RNA". It matches the Rfam family "Bacterial small subunit ribosomal RNA", at positions 338 to 795 of the family's 1533-position model. The record is from RNAcentral.
CCUACGGGUGGCAGCAGUCGGGAAUAUUGCGCAAUGGAGGAAACUCUGACGCAGUGACGCCGCGUGCAGGAAGAAGGUUUUCGGAUUGUAAACUACUUUAAACAGGGAGGAAAAAAGACAGUACCUGUAGAAUAAGCACCGGCUAACUACGUGCCAGCAGCCGCGGUAAUACGUAGGGAGCAAGCGUUAUCCGGAUUUAUUGGGUGUAAAGGGCUCGGAGACGGAGAAGCAAGUUAGUUGUGAAAUCCCUGGGCUUAACUGAGGAACUGCAACUAAAACUAGUUCCCUUGAGUACUGGAGAGGAAAGUGGAAUUGCUAGUGUAGCGGUGAAAUGCGUAGAUAUUAGGAGGAAUACCGGUGGCGAAGGCGACUUUCUGGACAGUAACUGACGUUGAGGCACGAAAGUGUGGGGAGCAAACAGGAUUAGAUACCCGAGUAGUC